Phragmites australis (common reed) is the source of this 666-nucleotide long non-coding RNA. RefSeq lists it as uncharacterized. The transcript is spliced from 3 exons. The record is from RefSeq and is a predicted model, not a curated record. Lineage: Eukaryota; Viridiplantae; Streptophyta; Magnoliopsida; Poales; Poaceae.
GAGGUCGUAGCCGAAGAGGACGCCGCCGCUGCAGGCGACGACGCAGCACAGCGCCACGAACGGCGUCACUCGGCCGCCGUACUCCGCCCCUCCGGGUGCCGGAGCCGCAUCCGCGAUCGCCAUCGUGCUGCUGCCUCUGGUAAAAAAAAGAACCGGGCCAUGGACAAGGAGUUGCCGCCGACGAGACGUGGCCGGUGGCGCCGGCGGAGGGCCCGGUCGCACCUGUCCCUCCUCGUCGCGGACGUCCUCGUGCCCCUCCUCCCAGCCUCACUCCAACCUUGCUGAUGUUUCUAUCUGGUUUGAUCAGAUACACCCCAAUUCAGAACACGCUACAAGCUCGGCAAAGCUAUUUCCCCUUCUUCUGCUUGUUUCUUUUCCUCUUCCUCCCCUACAAUCUUCUUCCAAAACCAGUGCCUCCUCCAGACCUGCUCCAUCUGCUCCAUGGGCAACUUCUUUGUCUCCGGCAGGAACAAAUAAACAAACAGCGUCAUCAAGCAAAUCCACCCACCAAAGACGAAGAAUGUCGCAGACUUGAUGCGACAAAGGACCGCAAGAAAUGUCUGGCCGAUCACAAAUGUCAUCAAGAAAACUACAGCAACCACAAUACUCUGCCCUGCUGAUCUUAUCUCCAGUGGACAAACCUCAGCAGGGACCAAGAAUGUAAGA